Molecule: ribosomal RNA, 253 nt
Filed under: uncultured bacterium
Lineage: Bacteria
Description: partial 16S ribosomal RNA
Rfam family: Bacterial small subunit ribosomal RNA
Source: RNAcentral
AACGUAGGAGCCAAGCGUUAUCCGAAUUCACUGGGCGUAAAGCGCGUGCAGGCGGCUGGGUAAGUUGGAUGUGAAAUCUCCUGGCUCAACUGGGAGAGGCCGUUCAAUACUACCUGGCUUGAGGGCGACAGAGGGAGGUGGAAUUCCGGGUGUAGUGGUGAAAUGCGUAGAUAUCCGGAGGAACACCAGAGGCGAAGGCGACCUCCUGGGUCGUACCUGACGCUGAGAUGCGAAAGCCAGGGGAGCAAACGGG